GACAGAGGGUGCAAACGUUGUUCGGAAUUACUGGGCGUAAAGCGCGUGUAGGCGGUUAUGCAAGUCGGGUGUGAAAGCCCCGGGCUCAACCCGGGAAGUGCAUUCGAUACUGCGUAGCUAGAGUACUGGAGAGGAUGGUGGAACUCUCGGUGUAGAGGUGAAAUUCGUAGAUAUUGGGAAGAACACCGGUGGCGAAGGCGGCUCACUGGCCCGUAACUGACGCUCAUGCACGACAGCGUGGGGAUCAAACAGG
Molecule: ribosomal RNA, 253 nt
Filed under: uncultured bacterium
Lineage: Bacteria
Description: partial 16S ribosomal RNA
Rfam family: Bacterial small subunit ribosomal RNA
Source: RNAcentral